UCCCUGGUGUUCCAGUGGUUAGUACUCUGCACUUCAGCUGCAGGGGGCGCAGGUUCAAUCCCUGCUCAGGGAA
Molecule: transfer RNA, 73 nt
Filed under: Bos taurus (domestic cattle)
Lineage: Eukaryota; Metazoa; Chordata; Mammalia; Artiodactyla; Bovidae
Also listed under: 1 other name
Rfam family: tRNA
About the family: Transfer RNA (tRNA) molecules are approximately 80 nucleotides in length. Their secondary structure includes four short double-helical elements and three loops (D, anti-codon, and T loops).
Source: Rfam by way of RNAcentral